UACGUAGGGUGCGAGCGUUGUCCGGAUUCAUUGGGCGUAAAGAGCUCGUAGGUGGUUUGUCGCGUUGUCCGUGAAAACUCACAGCUCAACUGUGGGCGUGCGGGCGAUACGGGCAGACUGGAGUACUGCAGGGGAGACUGGAAUUCCUGGUGUAGCGGUGGAAUGCGCAGAUAUCAGGAGGAACACCGGUGGCGAAGGCGGGUCUCUGGGCAGUAACUGACGCUGAGGAGCGAAAGCGUGGGGAGCGAACAGG
This 253-nucleotide ribosomal RNA is filed under the name uncultured bacterium. RNAcentral's name for it is "partial 16S ribosomal RNA". It matches the Rfam family "Bacterial small subunit ribosomal RNA", at positions 524 to 776 of the family's 1533-position model. The record is from RNAcentral.